AACGAACGCUGGCGGCAUGCCUAACACAUGCAAGUCGAACGAGACCUUCGGGUCUAGUGGCGCACGGGUGCGUAACGCGUGGGAACCUGCCCUUAGGUUCGGAAUAACUCCCCGAAAGGGGUGCUAAUACCGGAUAAUGUCUUCGGACCAAAGAUUUAUCGCCUUUGGAUGGGCCCGCGUUGGAUUAGCUGGUUGGUAGGGUAAAAGCCUGCCAAGGCGACGAUCCAUAGCUGGUCUGAGAGGAGGAUCAGCCACACUGGGACUGAGACACGGCCCAGAAUGCGACGGGAGGCAGCAGUGGGGAAUAUUGGAGGAUGGGCGAAAGUGUGAUACAGCAAUGCCGCGUGAGUGAUGAAGGGCGUAGGGUUGUAAAGCUCUUUUACCCGGGAUGAUAAUGACAGUACCGGGAGAAGAAGCUCCGGCUAACUCCGUG
This 433-nucleotide ribosomal RNA is filed under the name uncultured bacterium. RNAcentral's name for it is "partial 16S ribosomal RNA". It matches the Rfam family "Bacterial small subunit ribosomal RNA", at positions 29 to 507 of the family's 1533-position model. The record is from RNAcentral.